CUUUAGCUUCCUCAGUCUGGUGGGAUUUCAAAACUGUAAAAGCAAUUUCUAUAAUUGGAAAAUGACACUAAUGAAUCCAGUAAAUUUAGCCCCCUACUUUCAAAAUCACAGAUUACUUUAAUAUGUUUCCAUGUGUUCAUUGAAUACAUCUUUCAUGCUAACAGAAAACAAUGAGUAUAAGGAGUUAUACUGUACUAUAUAUAAAAAGAACAAACCCUUUAUGGAGUGGCAAAAUAACCCAAACUCUGCUCCUAAAAAGGACAGAUUCAAGUCCCUCCAAGCCACGGCACAGUCUGAGAUCAGGAAGAUGCAAGACCAAUGGUGGGAAAAAAAGGCAGAAGAAAUCCAGCGCUUUGCUGACACGAAAAACUAUGAACAAUUUUUCAGUGCCCUCAAGACUGUCUCUUGGCCAUUAAAAUCCGCCACUGCCCCCUUGUUAUCCUCUGACGGUGACACUCUCAUAAAAGACAAAAAAGGCAUCAGCAACAGAUGGAAAGAACACUUCAGUAAGCUUCUCAACCGACCCUCUUCAGUCGACCAAAGCACCCUUGACCAGAUCCCCCAAAACUGCAUCAUGGAGCAACUUGACAUCCCUCCUUCAAUAGAGGAAGUCCAGAAAGCCAUUAAACAAAUGAGUGCAGGCAAGGCACCUGGUAAAGAUGGGAUCCCAACCGAGGUGUACAAGGCCUUAAAUGGAAAGGUGCUCCAGGAAUUCCACAUAGUGCUGACGAGCAUAUGGGAAGAGGAAGACAUGCCCCCAGAACUCAGAGAUGCCUCCAUCGAAGCCCUAUACAAGAAGAACAAAGGCUCACAAGCAGCCUGUGACAACUACAGAGGCAUCUCACUGCUGGAAAGAUCCUCGCCCGUGUUAUACUCAACAGACUCCUAUCAUCUGUUUCAGAGCAGAACCUGCCUGAAUCACAAUGUGGCUUCCGACCAGAUCGCAGUACCAUCGACAUGGUCUUGGCAAAUGCAGGAAAAAUGCCUUGAGCAGAACCUGAGUCUCUACAUUGUCUUCAUAGACCUGACAAAGGCGUUAAACACAGUGAACAGGGACGCAUUGUGGGUGAUCCUCAGCAAGCUCGGUUGCCCAGAAAAAUUCGUCAAACUGAUCCAGCUCUUUCAUGUCGACAUGACAAGGGAAGUCCUAUCUAGUGGAGAGACUUCAGAUUGCUUCAACAUCUCCAAUGGCGUGAAACAAGGCUAUGUUCUCACUCCGGUACUAUUCAACCUAUUCUUCACCCAAGUAUUACAACAUGCUGUGAUGGAUCUAGACCUGGGCGUCUACAUCAAAUACUGACUGGAUGGCUCACUAUUUGAUCUUUGCCACCUGACUGCAAAAACAAAGACAACAGAGAGACUCAUCCUGGAAGCUCUCUUAGCAGAUGACUGUGCUCUCAUGGCCCUCCAAGAAAAUCAUCUCCAAACCAUUGUGGACAGGUUCUCCACCACAACAAAACUGUUUGGCCUGACUAUCAGCCUCAGUAAAACAGAGGUGCUGUUCCAACCUGCACUAGGGAGGCCAACAAACCAGCCGUGCAUUACAAUCAAUGGCACGCAGCUUUUUAACGUCAACACUUUCAAG
RNAcentral lists this long non-coding RNA (1585 nucleotides) under Monodelphis domestica (gray short-tailed opossum). RNAcentral describes it as "lncRNA (ENSMODG00000036667.1)". The record is from RNAcentral. Lineage: Eukaryota; Metazoa; Chordata; Mammalia; Didelphimorphia; Didelphidae.